Molecule: long non-coding RNA, 673 nt
Filed under: Brachypodium distachyon (stiff brome)
Lineage: Eukaryota; Viridiplantae; Streptophyta; Magnoliopsida; Poales; Poaceae
Description: long non-coding RNA (BDIS_LNC005246)
Source: RNAcentral
ACACCGGGCAGACAAACUAGGAAUGCAUGUGUUGAGGACCCAAUAAGUCAAUAGGUAACUGGGAGUGCUUGUUGGGGACCCAACAAUCUCAAGUCAUGUCAAUGGUAAUUGCUUCCUGGAAAAAGAAUAUCAACGUCCGAAAAACUGAACAGAGGAAAAUCUCUACGCAGGGCAGACUUGAAAUAUCCAUUGACCACGACCCAAAGAGUCCAAGAGUCCAAGACUCAUUCUGCUUGCAUGUGACACUCGAUCACGUCCAACUACGCCCGUCGUAUCCUAUUCAUCCACACGGGAAGCCAGGAAUCUUCUUCGGCUGCCCAACCUAACUACUCCCAUAUACUAGUUAAAGGUUCCGGAAAAAAAAAUCAGCAUAGUUUUCACUGGGCGAAAGCAAAAGCUUUACUACGCGACAGUAGAGGGGCACAUCACCCGUUACAAUUCCAAUCAUAUUUGCUGGUACAUCAUAAUCCUAAGACAAAACCUAAAAAAAUAAAACCUCUUAAGAUUGACAACCAUGCCCGAUCUCGGCAAGUUCCAGGGUCAAUUUUAAUUUUGCUUCACGCGGUGACCGACGCAACAAGACCAGACAAACAAGUCAUGUUGGUUCACCAGCCAGUAAGUUUAUUCCCCUUUCAAAAAAGGGAAAAUAUAUUGCCUCGCACGUUCGCGCGUU